This is a long non-coding RNA of Cyprinus carpio carpio, 1159 nucleotides long. The record is from Ensembl. Lineage: Eukaryota; Metazoa; Chordata; Actinopteri; Cypriniformes; Cyprinidae.
ACACUGGGCUCUAUAAUAUAAUCUCCUUUUGGGUGUUAUAGUUUUUGGUAAACUGUUGAAGAGUCAUAGGUUGAGUAAAUUUAAAUUUUUUUGUUUCUUUUGUUUGUCUUUUUCAGAACAGGCAAUUGAUGAGGAGAGUUUUUUGCUUUUAGAUGAGGGGACCAUUAACUGCCUAAUUCCAAAGAUCGGUCUUAGGCUGAAGUUCCUGAAAUACUACAAAGAAUUUACCAAGCUCGGACACAAAAAAGGGUCUAGCAUCUGCCUUGGUACAAGCAUUCCCCUGUCUGCACGAUAAAACUGCUGGUGGUUAUGUGAGUAGUAAGAUUUGUUGCUAUGUAAAUACUACAUGUUUCUGUGUAUGUGUGUCAGAGAGAGCAUGGGUACAGAAUUGUUUAAACUGCUGGAAUGUUUAAAAACGUAAGUGACAAUUUUGUCUACUGCCCGAAAUGUGUGCUAAAGUCUUGUACUGCAGUGUGCAGCUCGCUUGUAGUGCAAACGUAAUGUAGAUAUGGAUGUGAUUGUGAAGCCAUCUGGACAUUUUGAGGGAGUGAGAGAGAGAAGCAGCAUUACCACUGAAUCAGUCACACUGUGAUAUUAAAUCCCACAGGAAGUUUUAAAAUUACCGAACUGCUCUGAUAAUCUGUUUCAAUUCAACCUACAUGCUACAGUGCAUACAUUUUUGCUGCGAUAUCCUGCUUUAUAAUUUCAAAACCUGCGGAAAUGUUUAGAAUUAUUCACAAUAUCCACAAUCCCGCGCUGAAAUUCAGGCCCUGUGUUCAUGUGUAUUGUAUGUUCAUACAUGUCUUUCCAGGAAACAUGGUAUGCCCAAUGCCGAAAUAAUAGACCAGCCACUGGGUUCAUUGAAGAGAGACUGAGGAAUAUACGAAAGCGACUGAGGCGCUUGAGACGACCACAAGGAGAGAAAGAAGAUGCACCAUGCAGGACAGUCAUGCCAGUAGAAUCAACGAUAUCUGAAGAGAGAGCUGAGGAAAUUAAACAAUGGCUGAGAAACAACACUCAGCCCAUCAGCCAAGUGGAACAGUACAUGCGAGAAACUGCCUUGUACAGGGCGCAGUGGAUGAGGGCAAACAACUCAAAAAAUAUGUUUGAGGUCCUCCAUGAGUUUCCUCGGCUAACUACCCCAGGCAUGGUAUGUUAA